RNAcentral lists this ribosomal RNA (459 nucleotides) under uncultured bacterium. RNAcentral's name for it is "partial 16S ribosomal RNA". It matches the Rfam family "Bacterial small subunit ribosomal RNA", at positions 338 to 795 of the family's 1533-position model. The record is from RNAcentral.
CCUACGGGAGGCAGCAGUGCGGAAUAUUGGUCAAUGGGCGGGAGCCUGAACCAGCCAAGCCGCGUGAGGGAAGCAGGUACAGCGUAUCGUAAACUUCUUUUGUCAGGGAACAAAGGUGGGGACUAGUACGCGGAUGAGGGUACCUGAAGAAAAAGCAUCGGCUACGUCCGUGCCAGCAGCCGCGAUAAUACGGAGGAUGCGUGCGUUCUCCUGAUGGAUUGGGUUUAAGGGGUGCGCAGUCGGCCUGUUCAGUCAGGGGUAAAAGCCCGAGGCUCAACCCCGUCGAGCCGGUGACACUGGCGGGCUGGAGUUGGAUAGAAGUACGCGGAAUGCGCGGUGUAGCGGUGAAAUGCUUAGAUAUCGCGCAGAACCCCUAUUGCGAAGGCAGCGUACCGGCUCCACACGGACGCUGAGGCACGAAAGCGUGGGUAGCGAACAGGAUUAGAUACCCGAGUAGUC